RNAcentral lists this unclassified non-coding RNA (478 nucleotides) under Hevea brasiliensis (rubber tree). The record is from RNAcentral. Lineage: Eukaryota; Viridiplantae; Streptophyta; Magnoliopsida; Malpighiales; Euphorbiaceae.
CCAAGGGUUUAUAAAAAGCUAUCAAUUUUGCCUGCUAGGUUGUUCUUUUGUGAUUACUGUGCCACUUGGAAGGCCUGAUAAAUUCAUCCUUAAGGCCUCUAUGAAUGCUUUGAUCUCAAACUCUGCAUCUCCCAUUUUGUCAUCUUUGCUAAAUGUGUCAUGAUCAUACACAGUCAGUUUGACUGGAAGAUUAGGAUCUGUAACAGAAAGAGUUAAAUCUUCAUUCCACUCUGGAUUAACAUCCUUUUUUAUUACUCGAGUCUUCAGUUUCUGUCUGCCCAUCUUGACAACGACAUAAGGAUCGCUGCUACGAACAUCACGAACGGCGAGGUUAACGCCGCGUUUGAUGCGAAUUCUAAGCAAACCCAGAAGAUUAUCCAUCAACGACGACGUUUUCUUUCCUGACCCUGGCGAUCCUGGCGAUUCUGUCAUCCCCUUUGAUCCCCCUCCCUCCUUAUUAUGAGCAACGUACCCCGCC